CUCCAUUAGCAUAGACGCGGUCGAGGCGAAAAUGGGGUUGACAAUGUUGACUGAUAGGUAAUUCACAGAUUUAACGCCAAUGGACCAGAAAAAGUCUACGCUGUUUAAACGGUCGCUUGUCAACCCGAAGACUCGGAUUCGAUUCUGAGGACCACGCGUGAAGCGGAAGUGUCGUUUCGUGUUUCUGUAUCAUAAAAGUUGACGAAUGGCUCGUCCAGGUUGAAAACUUAGCGUUAGUCUAAUAUCCCACCUGUGACAACCAAGUACUCUCCCCUCAAACGAACACAUGGACGCCAGGAGUGGUGGCUGUGGGUGGUUCCUGAGGGUGGCCACUCAUUGGGUAGAUUUUUAGAUAGACUUUCGCCUGAACAUUUCGAAAUUUGAUCAACAUGUUUAUACGACAGACAAUUUUAAAAAAAAAAUUAACAU
Long non-coding RNA from Haliotis rubra (blacklip abalone), 429 nucleotides. RefSeq lists it as uncharacterized. Lineage: Eukaryota; Metazoa; Mollusca; Gastropoda; Lepetellida; Haliotidae. The transcript has 3 exons. The record is from RefSeq and is a predicted model, not a curated record.